UGAAUACGAGACGCUAAGGCGUCGAAGUAGUGUAUGUCAUACUUCCAAGAAAAGCUUGCACUGUCAUAGAUAAAAAACGCCUGUACCAUAACCGACACAGGUGGGUAGGUAGAGUAUACUAAGGGGCGCGAGAUAACUCUCUCUAAGGAACUCGGCAAAAUAACUCCGUAACUUCGGGAGAAGGAGUGCCUUAUUCGUAAGGUUGCAAUAACAAGAUCCAAGCAACUGUUUAUCAAAAACACAGGUCUCCGCUAAGUCGAAAGACGAUGUAUGGGGGCUGACGCCUGCCCAGUGCCCGAAGGUUAAAGAAGUUGGUUAGCAAUUGCGAAGCUGAUAACUGAAGCCCUGGUGAACGGCGGCCGUAACUAUAACGGUCCUAAGGUAGCGAAAUUCCUUGUCGGGUAAGUUCCGACCCGCACGAAAGGCGUAAUGAUUUGGAUACUGUCUCGGAGAGGGGCUCGGUGAAAUAGACUUGUCUGUGAAGAUGCGGACUACCUGCACCAGGACAGAAAGACCCUAUGAAGCUUUACUGUAACUUGAAAUUGAAAUUGGACUUUAUUCGCGCAGUAUAGGUGGGAGGCGUUGAUUAUAAUCUUGUGGGAUUAUUGGAGCCAUCAGUGAGAUACCACUCUUGUAAUGUUAGAUUUCUAACUUGGAAUCAUUAUCUGGUCAAAGAACAGUUUCAGGCGGGCAGUUUGACUGGGGCGGUCGCCUCCUAAACGGUAACGGAGGCGUACAAAGGUUUCCUCUGAACGGUUAGAAAUCGUAUCUAGAGUGUAAAGGCAUAAGGAAGCUUGACUGUGAGACCUACAAGUCGAGCAGGGACGAAAGUCGGUCUUAGUGAUCUGACGGUACUGAGUGGAAAGGCCGUCACUCAACGGAUAAAAGUUACUCUAGGAUAACAGGCUGAUCUCCCCCAAGAGUUCACAUCGACGGGGAGGUUUGGCACCUCGAUGUCGGCUCAUCGCAUCCUGGGGCGGUAGUACGUCCCAAGGGUUGGGCUGUUCGCCCAUGAAAGCGGUACGCGAGCUGGGUUCAGAACGUCGUGAGACAGUUCGGUCCAUAUCCGGUGUAGGCGUUAGAAUAUUGAGAGGAGCCCUCUUUAGUACGAGAGGACCGAGAAGGACAUACCUCUGGUGUACCAGUUAUCGUGCCAACGGUAAACGCUGGGUAGCUAUGUAUGGAGUGGAUAACCGCUGAAAGCAUCUAAGUGGGAAGCCCACCUCAAGAUAAGUAUUCUCAUC
RNAcentral lists this ribosomal RNA (1244 nucleotides) under metagenome. RNAcentral describes it as "bacterial LSU rRNA". It matches the Rfam family "Bacterial large subunit ribosomal RNA", at positions 1564 to 2818 of the family's 2925-position model. The record is from RNAcentral.